Molecule: long non-coding RNA, 839 nt
Filed under: Homo sapiens (human)
Lineage: Eukaryota; Metazoa; Chordata; Mammalia; Primates; Hominidae
Description: novel transcript
Source: RNAcentral
GUGACGCCAAAUGGGCCAAAGGGUCGCUGGGAAAACUAAGCCUUACUGUCCAUCUUGCCUUCAGGAUAAUGUGAAAUAUGGCCUAAUUUUUGAAGUUUUUUUCUUAGAAAUUUUACUGAAUCCAAAAUAAAACAAGAAGAUCAUGGUGGAUAUAGCUUCCAAAUUUAUUCUGCAAUAAAACAGGUUUGAAUCUAGAUAUACAAGCAAAUAGCAAAUAAUAUACAUUCUUUUUUGCAGAGUCCAGAAUUCUCUUUUCUCAACACUAGAUGGCAGUAGAGUUAAAGAAAAAAAUCCCAGCAGUUCUUUGUACAGGGAUUUGGUGAUUUUUCCCAUAAAGCUGCGAUGAGGAUGAACUCAGAGCAAAAUCUAUGGGGAGUUUUAUACCUGGUAUACUAUUUGUAGCCUUCGUAGAGGGUUCUCCAUUCUAGUCACACCGAUUUCCUCUCUGCUGCAGACAUUGGACACUGGCCUAGUGUUCCAGAAGCUCUGAGUUCAGAGUCCUCAUGUACUAAUGCCAGCAACAGUCAGUUUCACAGUGCCUCUGGCCAGCUGCACUCUUAUGCAACUCAACAAUUUCUCACCUUUUCUCCUUUUAAAAACAAUAUAAGCAACAAAACCACCCAGCUCCCACUGCUGCAUAACCCAGAAGUAUUGGAAAGAUCACUUCAUACAAUUCUUGAGGCAAUCCUGCAGGAUCAAGCAAUUAGGUCCUUGGAGUGGUGGCCAGCUCAUCAAAGCCUCUUUGUACUGGUGCUUCCCCUGAUCCUGUUUUGUUCCCUUGUCCCUCUUUCCUGCUCCUAGCUAGGAUCACACUCCCCAAUAAAGUUUUUGAACAAUGA